GGCGUCUUAGCUCAGCUGGGAGAGCAACAGACUGAAGCGAGUUUCGGUCAUCUGGAGGUCCCGUGUUCAAUCCACGGAGAUGCCA
Molecule: non-coding RNA, 85 nt
Organism: Pleurotus pulmonarius
Lineage: Eukaryota; Fungi; Basidiomycota; Agaricomycetes; Agaricales; Pleurotaceae
Source: the annotation of a GenBank genome assembly